RNAcentral lists this ribosomal RNA (485 nucleotides) under uncultured bacterium. Its description in RNAcentral is "bacterial SSU rRNA". It matches the Rfam family "Bacterial small subunit ribosomal RNA", at positions 15 to 518 of the family's 1533-position model. The record is from RNAcentral.
GAUUCGUGGCUCAGGACGAACGCUGGCGGCGUGCUUCAUACAUGCAAGUCGAACGAGGAGCAGUCUUCGGACUGUGGAAAGUGGCGGACGGGUGAGUAAAAUGUAGAGAAUCUGCCCUAGAGCGGGGGAUAGCAGUUGGAAACGACUAUUAAUACCCCAUAUGAGCGUACUUGAGAUAGUAUUCUUGAAAACUCCGGUGCUCUAGGAUGAGUCUGCAUCUGAUUAGCUAGUAGGCGGUGUAAUGGACCACCCAGGCGACGAUCAGUAGCUGGUUUGAGAGGAUGAUCAGCCACAAUGGGACUGAGACACGGCCCAUACUCCUACGGGAGGCAGCAGUAGGGAAUUUUGCGCAAUGGGGGAAACCCUGAACCGCAGCAACGCCGCGUGAAUGAAGAAGCCCUUCGGGGUGUAAAGUUCUGUCAGUGGGGACGAAACUUGACGGUACCCACAGAGGAAGCAUCGGCUAACUCCGUGCCAGCCGCUGC